UCCGGUGGCGAUGCGCGUCGGGGUCACACCCGUUCCCAUCCCGAACACGAUGGUUAAGACUGACGCGGCCGACAAUACUUGGCUGGAGACGGCCGGGAAGAUAGGUGGCUGCCGGAU
This 117-nucleotide ribosomal RNA is filed under the name Anaerostipes hadrus. Lineage: Bacteria; Bacillati; Bacillota; Clostridia; Lachnospirales; Lachnospiraceae. The record is from RNAcentral.